CCCUGUCUCUCUGCCCCUCCCCUGCUUGUACUCAUAAAUAAAUAAGUAAAUACAUACAUACAUACAUACAUACAUACAUACAUAUAUAAAUAGUCCUUAGAAGUGUUAUUGGGACAAAUGGGUCUUUUAAGACUCCAAAGACUAUAAAUUUUGCAAUGGCAUACAAAAUACUCAGACGGGACUCUGGGAACAGAUGCUGGACAGAGUUUGGGGUGCAAGAUGUUUAUUAAGGAUGAGCUCCUGUGAAAGGAAGAAUGAAGAGGCAGGACUGGGCAGAGGAAGAAAUCAGACUGCAAUGAAAGCUUGAUAGAGCCUAGACCAACCCACUGAGGAGCUCUGGAAUAAGUACUGCUCACAAGCCUGUCCUGCUUUGGGCUGAAAUGGCCUGUUUUGUUCAGGCAGGAGAUGCUGGAUGUUCCAGGAAGGGUAGGACUUUGUGGGGGGGGGGGGGGUGUCUCAGCAGGGGACAAUUUGCCUUCUGCUGGGUUUUACAUUCGUUUCCCUUCUCUGCCUUUGGGCCCCUCUCCCCAGUUGGAUCCAAUAUUUUCUGUGUGUUUCCAGCACUGGAUGGAAUAAAAAUAGAGUGAGCCCUUAGAUAGGGGCAAGUGCUAGGGUCAGGGCACCCAACCCCCAUAGGGAAAUUGGAGACCUGGGCACCCACCUGGAGAAAGUAUUGGGUGGUAUCAGGCCUUGACCAGACCCAGCACUAUGGCUUGGGGAACAGACAGGUAGGUGUCAAUUUGGAGCACCCCAAGAACUAUUCCUGUCAUAGCUAUUGACCAGAAAUAAGGAUAGACUGAAGUGCAAAUUGUUCAAAUGUUAGACUAGGCAGUUAGGUUCUAACAGGAUACCUGGAGGCCAGCAAAGAGGAAGUCAUGGUCAGCGUUUGGGAAGGCCAGAGGCCUGUCCUCACAGCACUCCUUAAGAAGCCACCAGACAGGCCCAACAAGGCAGGUGCCAAGACAGGAAACCCCUGGCCAAAUAAGGAAGAAGAGAGAAAACCUACCAAUUCCACUCCAAAUAAUGAAUAAACCACACCC
Long non-coding RNA from Herpailurus yagouaroundi (jaguarundi), 1040 nucleotides. RefSeq lists it as uncharacterized. The transcript has 2 exons. The record is from RefSeq and is a predicted model, not a curated record. NCBI's taxonomy places the organism in Eukaryota, Metazoa, Chordata, Mammalia, Carnivora, Felidae.